CAAUAGCCCCGAUAGAAGCGACAUCCUUUUUUGUUUUUCUUCUGCACUUUAAUUAUAAAAUUUAAAAAUGUUCUGAAAAACAAAAAAGAUACAGCGGAUAGCGGGAUCUGGC
Molecule: small RNA, 112 nt
Filed under: Epilithonimonas hominis
Lineage: Bacteria; Pseudomonadati; Bacteroidota; Flavobacteriia; Flavobacteriales; Weeksellaceae
Description: Chryseobacterium hominis Flavo-1 RNA
Rfam family: Flavo-1 RNA
Source: RNAcentral